CCUGAGAAACCCGAAAGAUCGAAUGGGGAGAUUCAUCGUCAGCGAUACUGGUACGUGUGCGGUUCGCGAUGCCGGGGACUUCGGUCUCGUGGCACGCGUCCGCAUGUUUUUAUUGCCUGGUGUCGUCGGCGUGCACUUCUCCCCUAGUAGAACGUCGCGACCCGUUGGGUGUCGGUCUACGGCCCGGGUGGGUGCCUGUCUCGUGUGUGCUUCACGGCAUCACUGCGGGGCAGACCCCCGGUUGCCUGACCGUCUGCCCGGCGGUACUCGCAAGGUAUCUGGCCGCAAAUAUUCGAACUGCGUCCGGCCCGUCGCAAGCGAGGCAAGUGCUUCCCGAAUGUGCGGAUCUAAAGCCGUCAUCGGGCCUUGCCAGCUGUUGGUUGACGGUGUCCUGGGACUGGCUAAACCAAUUAUGAUACCGGUCAGCGACGCUACUGCUUUGGGUACUUUCAGG
Molecule: ribosomal RNA, 454 nt
Filed under: Triancyra sp. RDB-2000
Lineage: Eukaryota; Metazoa; Arthropoda; Insecta; Hymenoptera; Ichneumonidae
Description: eukaryotic LSU rRNA
Source: RNAcentral